UACAGAGGUGGCAAGCGUUGUUCGGAAUUACUGGGCGUAAAGGGCGAGUAGGUGGCCAUCUAAGUCAGACGUGAAAUCCCCCGGCUUAACCUGGGAACUGCGUCUGAUACUGGACGGCUUGAGUAUGGGAGAGGAACGUAGAAUUCCAGGUGUAGCGGUGAAAUGCGUAGAUAUCAGGAGGAACACCAAUAGCGAAGGCAGCUCGCUGGGACGUUACUGACACUGAGGCGCGAAAGCGUGGGGAGCGAACAGG
Molecule: ribosomal RNA, 253 nt
Filed under: uncultured bacterium
Lineage: Bacteria
Description: partial 16S ribosomal RNA
Rfam family: Bacterial small subunit ribosomal RNA
Source: RNAcentral